RNAcentral lists this transfer RNA (361 nucleotides) under uncultured Microcystis sp. RNAcentral describes it as "partial 16S-23S ribosomal RNA intergenic spacer". The stretch from base 136 to 209 matches the Rfam family "tRNA". Lineage: Bacteria; Bacillati; Cyanobacteriota; Cyanophyceae; Chroococcales; Microcystaceae. The record is from RNAcentral.
AAAGGGAGACCUAAUUCGGGUAGGAGACGAAAAAAAAGUAGUCGCUACCAAGAAUCAAUCCCAAAAGGUCGGAGCGAGGCGAAAUUGGCUUUCAAACUAGGUUCUGGGUUCACACAAGACCUGAAUCAGGAACAAGGGCUAUUAGCUCAGGUGGUUAGAGCGCACCCCUGAUAAGGGUGAGGUCCCUGGUUCGAGUCCAGGAUGGCCCACCUGCACAGGUGGCAAAAACAAGAGAAGCGAGGAAUCAGCACCUUAUCUUACCUACAUAGUAAGAGAGAAUGCUGGCUCUGAGUACAGAGUCCAGAGGAACCUUGAAAACUGCAUAGAGCUAGGUGAAAAAGCCAAAAAAGAAGACCGCAAG